AGAGUUUGAUCCUGGCUCAGGAUGAACGCUGGCGGUAUGCCUUAUACAUGCAAGUCGUACGAGAGUUUUUAACUCUAGUGGCGGACGGGUGAGUAACACGUAAGAAUUUGCCUUUAGGAGGGGGACAACAACUGGAAACGGUUGCUAAUACCCCAUAUGCUUUCAAGUGAAAUGGAUUUCCGCCUAAAGAGAAGCUUGCGGCUGAUUAGCUUGUUGGUAGGGUAAUGGCCUACCAAGGCGACGAUCAGUAUCUGGUUUGAGAGGACGAUCAGACACACUGGAACUGAGACACGGUCCAGACUCCUACGGGAGGCAGCAGUAGGGAAUUUUCCGCAAUGGGCGAAAGCCUGACGGAGCAAUACCGCGUGAGGGAUGACUGCCUAUGGGUUGUAAACCUCUUUUUUCAGGGAGGAAUAAAUGACGUGUACCUGAAGAAUAAGCAUCGGCUAACUCCGUGCCAGCAGCCGCGGUAAGACGGAGGAUGCAAGUGUUAUCCGGAAUCACUGGGCGUAAAGCGUCUGUAGGUGGCUCGACAAGUCAACUGUUAAAUCUUGAAGCUCAACUUCAAAAUCGCAGUCGAAACUAUCGGACUAGAGUAUAGUAGAGGUAAAGGGAAUUUCCAGUGGAGCGGUGAAAUGCGUAGAGAUUGGAAAGAACACCGAUGGCGAAGGCACUUUACUGGGCUAUUACUGACACUCAGAGACGAAAGCUAGGGUAGCAAAUGGGAUUAGAUACCCCAGUAGUCCUAGCCGUAAACAAUGGAUACUAGGUGUUGAACAGAUCGACCUGUGCAGUACCAAAGCUAACGCGUUAAGUAUCCCGCCUG
Molecule: ribosomal RNA, 826 nt
Filed under: uncultured bacterium
Lineage: Bacteria
Description: bacterial SSU rRNA
Rfam family: Bacterial small subunit ribosomal RNA
Source: RNAcentral